RNAcentral lists this ribosomal RNA (443 nucleotides) under uncultured bacterium. Its description in RNAcentral is "partial 16S ribosomal RNA". It matches the Rfam family "Bacterial small subunit ribosomal RNA", at positions 338 to 795 of the family's 1533-position model. The record is from RNAcentral.
CCUACGGGAGGCAGCAGUGGGGAAUAUUGGGCAAUGGGCGCAAGCCUGACCCAGCAACGCCGCGUGAAGGAAGAAGGCUCUCGGGUUGUAAACUUCUUUUAUCAGGGACGAAGCAAGUGACGGUACCUGAUGAAUAAGCCACGGCUAACUACGUGCCAGCAGCCGCGGUAAUACGUAGGUGGCAAGCGUUAUCCGGAUGUACUGGGUGUAAAGGGCGUGGAGGGGGGAAAGCAAGUCAGAUGUGAAAACCAUGGGCUCAACCUGUGGCCUGCAUUUGAAACUGUUUUUCUUGAGUACUGGAGAGGCAGACGGAAUUCCUAGUGUAGCGGUGAAAUGCGUAGAUAUUAGGAGGAACACCAGUGGCGAAGGCGGUCUGCUGGACAGCUACUGACGCUGAGGCGCGAAAGCGUGGGGAGCAAACAGGAUUAGAUACCCGAGUAGUC